AGCGAACGCUGGCGGCAGGCCUAACACAUGCAAGUCGAACGGAUCCUUCGGGAUUAGUGGCGGACGGGUGAGUAACACGUGGGAACGUGCCCUUUGGUUCGGAACAACUCAGGGAAACUCGAGCUAAUACCGGAUGUGCCCUUCGGGGGAAAGAUUUAUCGCCAUUGGAGCGGCCCGCGUCUGAUUAGCUAGUUGGUGAGGUAAAGGCUCACCAAGGAGACGAUCAGUAGCUGGUCUGAGAGGAUGAUCAGCCACAUUGGGACUGAGACACGGCCCAAACUCCUACGGGAGGCAGCAGUGGGGAAUCUUGCGCAAUGGGCGAAAUCCUGACGCAGCCAUGCCGCGUGAAUGAUGAAGGUCUUAGGAUUGUAAAAUUCUUUCACCGGGGACGAUAAUGACGGUACCCGGAGAAGAAGCCCCGGCUAACUUCGUGCCAGCAGCCGCAGUAA
This 449-nucleotide ribosomal RNA is filed under the name uncultured bacterium. RNAcentral's name for it is "partial 16S ribosomal RNA". It matches the Rfam family "Bacterial small subunit ribosomal RNA", at positions 29 to 523 of the family's 1533-position model. The record is from RNAcentral.